UAGGCAUGCUGGGGUUCCGCCAGCGGCGCCUGGCGGCAGCUUGUGCAUAUGAGCGCCCCGACACCGGACGGGACAAGG
RNAcentral lists this non-coding RNA (78 nucleotides) under Brucella sp. 191011898. Its description in RNAcentral is "ybhL". It matches the Rfam family "ybhL leader". From Rfam's summary of the family: This family is a putative regulatory RNA structure that is found upstream of an uncharacterized membrane protein in alpha-proteobacteria. Lineage: Bacteria; Pseudomonadati; Pseudomonadota; Alphaproteobacteria; Hyphomicrobiales; Brucellaceae. The record is from RNAcentral.